CACUUUAAAUGCAAUUAUAUUUGUGUUUGGACAAGCUUGGAGUGGGAAUGAGUCCUGGAUAGGGACUUAAUUUUAGCAGCAAAUGUGGGUAAAUUGUUUUGGUACGUAAGACCUUUCCUUUAUUCUCCAUUUUUCAACUCUUGUUUGUUCUCUAAGUUGCCUUCCUAUUUCAUGGUUGAAUUCCUAAAACUACUUUAUAUACUUCUCCCCUUUUAUGGAUUGUUUGACAUGCUCGAUCAAAAUAUAUUUUGGUUUUGUUGAGAUUAUUAAACAAUUGUAUAUAGCUUUUAACAUGUGCAGUCUAUUUUUGUUGUUGUUCUUAUGUUGUUUGGAAGUAUCAAUUUAUUUUUAAUAUCAGUUCAUAUAUAUAUAUAUAUAUAUAUAUAUAUAUGUUGACAUACAUAUACUUUGCACCAACUGCCCUUAAUAUCAGGAACAGGAAGCAAUCAUUUUUUGGUUGAUAAUUUUAUUUGUAUACGUCUUUGGUGAAAGACAAACCAACUUUACCUCAGACACCAUAUCGUAAUCUUUGCUACAAUGUAACCUUUACAAAUUGAAGUUUUCAAAUAAAGUUUGGGAACUUUUUUAACAAUUUUAUUUAAGAUAAUAUAUAGAAUUAGCACAUGCACGCAUGUCAAGUACUGACCUACUCUACCAUAUGUAGGUAGAUUCAACAAAGAUGAAUUUGUGCUAAGAAACAAGCAAACUUGUGAAAAUUUAGAGAAUUGAUAUUUUCACAACUCUCACAUUAGGUGGAUUUUAUUUACUAUUCAUGUGAGAAAGAGCUUGUAAUUAUCAAAUUUACUUGUGGAAAUAUUAAUUUCCAAAAUUUAGUGUAGACUGCAAGAAAAUAAAAACUAGACAUCACUGCAAAAUAUAUGCACCAACGAUAUUAACAACUAUCAAAGAACCAAAUGAAAAGUAUAAAGAACAUAACAAGCUGCGAAUUAGAAAAGCUUGAGCAGCAGACAGGCGAACUUAUUUAAUUCCUCAUUGCAAGGGAAAGAUUGGUUGAACUAAUCUAUAUAUAUAUAUACAUAUAUAUGAUUCUCUCCAGCGAAUCAUAGAGAGCGAACUAAAAACGAACCGGCUAUAGCGACGCUAUAACAUAGAAAAUCGGCUUUCUAUGCUAUAACGACGGAUAAAAACGUUGCUAUAGCCGGUUGAUUUUUAGUUCACUACCUAUAGUUCGCUGGAGAGACGGACCGUAUAUAUAUAUAAUAAGACAAAAUUAACUAAUUUUUUUGUUCUUUUAACUAUAAUUUAAGUGUUACUAAAACACUUUUUAAGCCUAGAAUUUAGUUAGAACCAAAACACUAUUUAUUUAGGAAAUUGUUAAAUCCACAACAAAAAUUGUUAUUUUCACAACAAAAGUGUCGCUAUAGAUCUUAUAGCUACGGUUUUCACCGUCGCUAUACACCUAUAGCGACACUUUUGUUGUGGAAAUAACAAAAAGUGUUGUGGAUUUAACAUUUCCCUUUAUUUAUUGUCUUAGAAAAUUUUUAGAGGAAAUUUUAUUUCUUAUAGAAGUACUUUACUAAACGGUCUUGUUACUUUGCUGCUAAGACACUUUGUGUGUUGAUGUGCUGCUGAACCAUUCCAGUAAACCAAAGCAGCAAUACCAAUAGUGUUAUUACUCCCCCCACAAGUUGAAGGGGCACAUGGAUUGUGCAGAUUUUACUUGGAAUUGAGGAAGCAAUGUGGAACUUUACCCAAAGCCUUGAUAAACAAAUCAGCCGACUGAUAUUUGGAAGAAAUUUUCAUAGGAAGAAUAAUGUCAACUUGUAGUUUUUCCCUAACAAAAUGACAAUCGAUCUCAAUGUGCUUGGUUGGAGAAUGGUACAAUACCAGUGGAUGGAACAACACCAUAGGAUGGAAGGACCAUAAUCAUAAGUAGAACCAUGAGAAAGUCCAACACCAUUAAACGAAACAGCAGUAGCAUAAGAAGGUCCAACAGAACACCAGUACAAUGAAAAGGUCCAACAGAACACCAUUAUAAGACAUAAUAGUAGUGAUGUGCGAAGUAGUAGCUGCAUAGGGGUUAUUAACAGGCAUAUGCUUAUGAAAUGGUGACCCAAGCAUGACAUUUGAACCAUUGGCAAGCAAACCAGUAAUUUUUGAAUUAGAAUGCCCCUGCCUUUUGCUUUUCAUCAUGUUUUAUUAAUGAAAAGGGUCGAGUAAUUGAAGGUAAAAUUUGUCCCCUAACAGUAGAGUAGCUUUCCCAUAAAAUACUGAAUCAAUUUCUUUCUCUGUUCCCUUUCUUAAAGUGAUCCAUAACUUGUUUGCAAUAAGCACCAAUUCAGGAUGGUCAUUAUUAUGUAAGAAAAGACGAUUUGUGCACAAUUAAUGCUCAUUAAUUCCAGUUACAAAUGUCUAACUAACUAAUGUCAGGUGUAUUAAAUCAGUUUUCUCUGUUGUUAAUGAUGAUGCUGCUGCUGCAACUCAACUUAUUAAUGAUCUUAUUGCACUUUGUGUGUGUUGAUGUGUUGCUCAACUAUUGCUGUAAAUCAAAGCAACAGUACCGAUAGUCUUAUCUAUAAAAAUAUUAUUAAAUUUUAAUUGUAGAAAUAAUGUAAUUGUCGGAUCACAUUUAUUUGAUUAUAUUAAUGUAAUUUGAAAUAUAUAUAUAUAUAUAUAUAUAUAUAUAUAGGGGCGGAGGCAUGUAUAGACUAGAGUGGGCUUUAGCCCAGGUGGAGUUUUUGGAAAAUAUUUAGUACUUAUAUAUCUUCAAUAGCCCAACCCAAUAUUGUUUUUCUGUUUUCUUGUGAUCCAUUAAAUAAGUGUUUAUGAUUUUAAUAAGUGUUUAUGAUUUUAUCCAAGUUUUUUUUCCCUUGCGUCUUCAUCUUUAUCCUUAAGAUAUAGUUCUGUUUAUUUAAUCUAGUAUCCUCAAAGACUGUGAUGUCCUUGUUUUUUUUUUUUGACAUCCUGGAGGGAGUAGUUUUUAGUGCUAUGUUGGCCUCUAUCUUGUUUAAUUUUGAUGUUUACUUGUCCAUGCAUCAUUUGUUGCUAAUUGUGGCACAUUACUAAGCACAUUACUAAGAUAGGAGUGUAAUUGUUUGAUAUUAUGCUUGUUAUAUGCCAUGCUUUGACUAAUUUACUUAGUUAAAAACUUUCUAGAUUUUGAAAUCUAAUGAUACUAUUAGCAUACAGUAUGUUAUUUUUCACUCAUAAUAUACUAAUAUGUAUUAACCGACAUAAUGCACAUAUAUCCGUUGCACAUCCACAAAUUUCAUCAGCAGUUUCAAUUUGAAUAAGUGACAAUAGAAAGUCAAGGAAGCAAGAGAGAAAAAACUUUGUUUUCUUUCUUUAAACCAAGAGAAAGUGCAUUAACUAGUGAAGGGCAUUAUCCAUCUUAUGUUGACAUCUCAAAUCACCAACCACCUCUUUCCAAAUCUCGUAUAAAACUUAAAUAGUGAAGUGUAUCAACGAAUUCUAUUCUACAAAGCAUAGAAGGACGCAGCUUAAAUAGUGUGUUGUUUUCCUUUUUUCUUACAUGUUAUGUACCUUUAAAUUUUACUAUUAUGUAUGAUUUUGAAUUUAUGAUUGAUCUUGGUGGUACUUAGUAGCCCAGGAGAUGCAGAAUUUUUGACUCCGCCCUUGUAUAUAUAUAACAUUGUAGACUUCAGUUACACCUCCACCCACAUCUCAAAGAGGAUUUCUUUGUGUCCUCCAGGUCGGACCACCGACCACCGACAGUGUGUUCCCUACUAAUCCUCCUGAAUUCCGGUAUGUCCAUUGCUAGCUGGUAUGUAUGUAUGUAUGUAUAUAACUGAAUCCCCCAAUAUGUUAUUCCCUCUAUUAACCAAUUAAUUUGAUAUAGAUUUUGAGUAGAGAAAUAAUGGAAGAGUUGUUGAGCUGUUUGGGUGAGUUUUUGGAAGGGAUCAAAAGUGAGUGCUUAGGUCUCCCUCCCAAUUUUCUAUAGAAUUCAAUGAUGAUCGUAGUGGUAGCUUAAUUUCUGCUAUCCCGGCCCCAGCAAUAGAAACCGAUAACAUUGGAGGGUUUGCAUGGAAAUUCUGUGUUACAAGAUGAUGGUGGAUGGAUCCCGGCCGGUAACCCCAGCUAGCUCAAGGGUCAAUCGUUUAAGGAUUAAACAAAAGACUUGGCAUUUCCCACUUUGAAAUUAAUUCCUAAGAAACAACAAAUCUGUUUGUUGUUUUUGGCUUGGUGUUCCUAUUUAAAUAUUCUGUCUCAUGAUCUCAUCUCAUAUAACGUUAUAUGUUGG
RNAcentral lists this long non-coding RNA (4222 nucleotides) under Panax ginseng (ginseng). RNAcentral describes it as "long non-coding RNA (PGIN_LNC018271)". The record is from RNAcentral. Lineage: Eukaryota; Viridiplantae; Streptophyta; Magnoliopsida; Apiales; Araliaceae.